Molecule: non-coding RNA, 27 nt
Filed under: Bombyx mori (domestic silkworm)
Lineage: Eukaryota; Metazoa; Arthropoda; Insecta; Lepidoptera; Bombycidae
Also listed under: 10 other names
Source: RNAcentral
GUUUCCGUAGUGUAGUGGUUAUCACGU